Long non-coding RNA from Misgurnus anguillicaudatus (oriental weatherfish), 1153 nucleotides. RefSeq lists it as uncharacterized. The record is from RefSeq and is a predicted model, not a curated record. NCBI's taxonomy places the organism in Eukaryota, Metazoa, Chordata, Actinopteri, Cypriniformes, Cobitidae.
UGCAUCUAGAGACCAUGACUGGUUUAAUUUACCUUUUACUCAAAUCCGUGGAUUAUGAUCCUUCGUCAAUAAAUGUGUCCCAAAACCGACCAGCUAACAUACAUGAUGAUUAAAGUAAAGACUUUAUGAAGAAAUAUCUGACGACAACUAAAGCGUGAAGAUUCUGCUUGUGGGGUAAAUGACCUGAGGUUGUGCUUCAGGUGGCUCUUCAGGUGGCGGUGGCCCUUCCAAAAAUGUGCGAAAGUGAUCGUCUGUAUUGAGUUCGGGCUGUUUGACUAGCAGUUGGCAUUUUGGGUAAAAAUAGAUUACCUGAAGGGAACUGCUGAGGAUGACCGAGAGGGCCACAGAAGGAAAGAAGACGUUCAAGGGUUGCUGUAGACGGCACGCAAUGUCAUUUGGCUGACCCAGGAACAGCACCAGGCUGACACAUUGUGCUGAUAGGCUCAACAGGGUAAUGCUGCUCAAUGACCCACCAGCAAUUUUCACCAUUGGAGUUCCUCUGUUCUUGAAAAAAUGAAUCCCUACCCAUGCAUGUGAUGCAAGUACCAAAAUUCCAGCCAGCAGGAUUGCUAUUGACUCAAAUUGAAGCCAAUCCAGGUAAGUAUAGACGGGAAAGACACAGCUGGUGCUACGUAGGGUGGACCACUUGCCGACAGGACAUAAUGUGCAUUGGAUAUCAUCUUUCAAUUGGAAGAGACAAAUAAGCAGCGUAUAGCCAGAGGCAAUUGAGAGGUGCGAGGAAAGCAGACGGAGGUGAAGAAAGAUGAACAGAAACAUGAUCGAUUUAUCUGCAAGCAUUAAUGGGCAGGACUGUUUUAUGUUAUUUACAUGUGUGAAUGAUGAAGAAACCUGAUGUAUACUGUAUGACGUACAGCGCAGGACGUGUUCCAGAUCAAUCAAGAUGAGGAAGCUUUCUUUUUUUUUUUUAAGGGUGUAAUGGAGAAAUACAUACAAACAGUCUAUGCAUAUUGAGCCAGUGAAUAAGUAAAAUCAAAGUUUGAUGUUCCUCAUCUCAAAAUAAGAUUGAGACUUUGUGCACACAUUUUAUCAGUAUUUGGGUGAUUCUCACAAAAUCCAGAUUUAGAAGGUGUCCAGCAUAAAAAAAAAAUUAAAAGCCCUUGAAGCCAAUUGUUUUUGCACAUAAAAGAUUAAG